Molecule: ribosomal RNA, 468 nt
Filed under: uncultured bacterium
Lineage: Bacteria
Description: partial 16S ribosomal RNA
Rfam family: Bacterial small subunit ribosomal RNA
Source: RNAcentral
GACGAACGCUGGCGGCGUGCUUAACACAUGCAAGUCGAACGGAAAGGCCCUGCUUUUGUGGGGUGCUCGAGUGGCGAACGGGUGAGUAACACGUGAGUAACCUGCCCUUGACUUUGGGAUAACUUCAGGAAACUGGGGCUAAUACCGGAUAGGAGCUCCUGCUGCAUGGUGGGGGUUGGAAAGUUUCGGCGGUUGGGGAUGGACUCGCGGCUUAUCAGCUUGUUGGUGGGGUAGUGGCUUACCAAGGCUUUGACGGGUAGCCGGCCUGAGAGUGUGACCGGCCACAUGGGGACUGAGAUACGGCCCAGACUCCUACGGGAGGCAGCGGUGGGGAAUAUUGCACAAUGGAAGGAAGCCUGGUGCAGCAACGGCGCGUGCGGGAUGACGGCCUUCGGGUUGUAAACCGCUUUCGCCUGUGACGAAGCGUGGGUGACGGUAAUGGGUAAAGAAGCACCGGCUAAGUACGUG